AAGUCGAGCGGAUGAGAGGAGCUUGCUCUGGAUUCAGCGGCGGACGGGUGAGUAAUGCCUAGGAAUCUGCCUGGUAGUGGGGGACAACGUUUCGAAAGGAACGCUAAUACCGCAUACGUCCUACGGGAGAAAGCAGGGGACCUUCGGGCCUUGCGCUAUCAGAUGAGCCUAGGUCGGAUUAGCUAGUUGGUGAGGUAAUGGCUCACCAAGGCGACGAUCCGUAACUGGUCUGAGAGGAUGAUCAGUCACACUGGAACUGAGACACGGUCCAGACUCCUACGGGAGGCAGCAGUGGGGAAUAUUGGACAAUGGGCGAAAGCUGAUCCAGCCAUGCCGCGUGUGUGAAGAAGGUCUUCGGAUUGUAAAGCACUUUAAGUUGGGAGGAAGGGUUGUAGAUUAAUACUCUGCAAUUUUGACGUUACCGACAGAAUAAGCACCGGCUAACUCUGUGCCAGCAGCCGCGGUAAUACAGAGGGUGCAAGCGUUAAUCGGAAUUACUGGGCGUAAAGCGCGCGUAGGUGGUUUGUUAAGUUGGAUGUGAAAUCCCCGGGCUCAACCUGGGAACUGCAUCCAAAACUGGCAAGCUAGAGUAUGGUAGAGGGUGGUGGAAUUUCCUGUGUAGCGGUGAAAUGCGUAGAUAUAGGAAGGAACACCAGUGGCGAAGGCGACCACCUGGACUGAUACUGACACUGAGGUGCGAAAAAGUGGGGGAGCAAACAGGAUUAGAUACCCUGGUAGUCCACGCCGUAAACGAUGUCAACUAGCCGUUGGGAGCCUUGAGCUCUUAGUGGCGCACUAAACGCAUUAAGUUGACCGCCUGGGGAGUACGGCCGCAAGGUUAAAACUCAAAUGAAUUGACGGGGGCCCGCACAAGCGGUGGAGCAUGUGGUUUAAUUCGAAGCAACGCGAAGAACCUUACCAGGCCUUGACAUCCAAUGAACUUUCCAGAGAUGGAUUGGUGCCUUCGGGAACAUUGAGACAGGUGCUGCAUGGCUGUCGUCAGCUCGUGUCGUGAGAUGUUGGGUUAAGUCCCGUAACGAGCGCAACCCUUGUCCUUAGUUACCAGCACGUAAUGGUGGGCACUCUAAGGAGACUGCCGGUGACAAACCGGAGGAAGGUGGGGAUGACGUCAAGUCAUCAUGGCCCUUACGGCCUGGGCUACACACGUGCUACAAUGGUCGGUACAAAGGGUUGCCAAGCCGCGAGGUGGAGCUAAUCCCAUAAAACCGAUCGUAGUCCGGAUCGCAGUCUGCAACUCGACUGCGUGAAGUCGGAAUCGCUAGUAAUCGCGAAUCAGAAUGUCGCGGUGAAUACGUUCCCGGGCCUUGUACACACCGCCCGUCACACCAUGGGAGUGGGUUGCACCAGAAGUAGCUAGUCUAACCUUCGGGGGGACGGUUACCACGGUGUGAUUCAUGACUGGGGUGAAGUCGUAACAAGGUAGCCGUAGGGGAACCUGCGGCUGGAUCACCUC
Molecule: ribosomal RNA, 1474 nt
Filed under: uncultured bacterium
Lineage: Bacteria
Description: 16S ribosomal RNA
Rfam family: Bacterial small subunit ribosomal RNA
Source: RNAcentral